This is a long non-coding RNA of Leopardus geoffroyi (Geoffroy's cat), 2379 nucleotides long. RefSeq lists it as uncharacterized. NCBI's taxonomy places the organism in Eukaryota, Metazoa, Chordata, Mammalia, Carnivora, Felidae. The record is from RefSeq and is a predicted model, not a curated record. The transcript has 3 exons.
GAGCCACCCAGGCGCCCCCUCUCUUCCUUCUUUAAAAAAAUCUGGACUGGGAUCUCAGCUGACAGCUCAAUUAAGUGAAGUGAGCAAAGAUUUCCCAGCUGUUGCCAGCUCAAAGGGCGUUACGUCCAUAAAGAAAAAGCAGUCUUUCUAACCAGAAAGCACCAAAGAUCUUGAUCGUAGGCAGCACGGAUCAGUGCAAUCACGGGCAUGGACAAGGAGUCAAGAAUUUCUCUACAUUGAAUCUCUCUGUACAGAAUAUCUCUACAUUGUGCCUUUAGAAAAAAAUGGAAAGAAAAUAUCUGGCUCGCAGAGAACUUGUACUGAGUAAUGAACUAUAACAGUGCUCAGCACAGAGCAGGUGCUCAGUAAAUACUUGUUUGCUGAAGUAACGUUUGAUUUGAAUGGACUCUAAAAUGCCUUCAUCUGACUAAGUGCCGUCUUACAUCAGCUUUCUCAGAGUAGUGUUUCCAUACAGGCAAACCUUCUAAUCCCCAGUAAAAGAAAAGAUUACAUAAAUAUUCAGUAACUUGAAGUUUUAAGUAAAUGCCCAGUGUCCUACCUCUAAACAUGUCUGCAGAUGAUCUUGGUUUGCUCCCUGGAGAAGAACCAAAUACUUUAGAUAAGGGGGGAAUAUCCUCUCUCUCUGCUUGUAUAGACUUGGCCUAACUUAAAAAUAAAUGUUUAGUUAAGAUGAUCUCCGGCUUGACCUUUCUGAAGGCACGGGAAGCUGGCUUGAGCAUAGCUGUCCAUGGCUAUAGAUUGGAAUGUCUCAGUGUAGGUGGAACAGUGUUCUCAAGGGAAGCCCUUCCUCAUUUACUAGCUGGGUAUGUUAAUACCCUUUGGUAUUUACCUCAGUCUUCAACAAGUCAAAAUCUGUGGGGUAAUAUAUACAGUCGAUAAUUCUUAAACCAACAUAAUACACUGAGAUGCUUGUAACUGAUGAGUGAGUUAGGCUCAGCCUUCAGCACUAUGAUUAAUCAUAUAAAUUUGUAAAAGGUGCAUAAUCAUAGCUAGUGGGAGAGACUGCUAACUGUGCUUACAGAAUGUGCCUAUUCCCUCCUAUUUUCCUGGAGUCUUCUAGCUCAAAAGCUUUUGGGUUAUGGAUAGGUAAGUUGCAUUUAUCAACAACCAGUGGAAGAAGUAUGAUGUUGGUAUUUAAAUCUCAUCUCUCAUUUAAUAUUGGGCAAACAUCUGCCCUUCUCUGAGAAUUAAUUUCUUUAUCUUCUACCAGUGCAACAUCAGGGGCUGAGUGAGAUUUUUCAUGUUGUCUCAGAACCAUCAAAGACUCAAAGCUGGGAAUAUGUACCCCAAAUUCUAAGCCCCAGGAACCACAGCUACUGAGACCUGCUAUCUCUUUGCAGGGCUUGAUAAGGAUUAUCCAGCAGACCUGGGGUUACUACUCCAUUGUCUUUCACCUCCUCCUGAUAUUUAAAAACAACAACAACAACAACAACAACAACUGAGAAGAGGAGUCUUUUGAAGGAACAAAGUGUUCACUUUCUCUCUUCAUCUCCUCCAUUGAAGGAAAGAGAGGGAGGUCCAAGAGAAUCGUUCAUAAACUUGGGAGUGGCUAAGGAAAGGCAGACUGACACUUUAUUCCCUGGUUGAAUAUCUGCUUAUAUAGCAGAGCUGAUGAACUACCUCUGAGCUGUCAGUGGACCACACACUACUUCGGGACCUCAUGUAAACUCACCUUCAAAGUAUUGCCACAUGUUGCCAGGGACAACUGGUUGAGCCAUUGCCGCAUUUGGCGAGCCAUGCGGUCUAAAACUUGACAACAGCAGCCCAUGGGAGUAUGUGUUUCUAAAUUGCACAAGGACUCUGUCAGCUCACCAGGCGUGUGCCUGUGAGGUGAUGAAUGCUCAAUGCUCAGCAGGAGCAUCUUUUCCUAAGUUGUAUAAAGGUGACCCUGCACUUUUUAACUGUCCCUUGCCCCCACCCUAGUCUCUCUUAAUUUCAAAUUCUUUUGUACCUGGCUGACAAAUCAAUUUCUCUUUUUUUACCUGAAGGAAAUUUCUUUUUGUACAUAAAAAAAGACACCCUUAAGGGCACCAGCAACAUCACAUAUAUUGGGUGUUGCUAUAGAGGGGCUGAGCAGAGACUCAGCCUGGACAUACAGUGAAAUAAAAUCUUCCUAGCACCGUGAUUCUCAAACUUUAAUGUGUACACAAAUCACUAUCAGAUCUCAUUAAAAGGCAGAUUCUGUUUUGGAAGAUCUGGGUGGAGUGUGAAAUUCGGCAUUUCUAACAAGUGCUUACGUGGUGCUAAUGAUGCUAGUCUGAGGACCACACUUUAGCAAGCAAAUUUCAUUGAAUUCUCACAAAGAUCCCUAUGAGAGAACAAGCAGGGGAGGGGCAGAGAGAGAGAGAGAGAGAGAGA